UAGUCCACGCCCUAAACGAUGCUAACUCGAUGUUUGGGUCUUGAACUUGAGCAUCCAAGGGAAACCGUUAAGUUAGCCACCUGGGGAGUACGUUCGCAAGAAUGAAACUCAAAGGAAUUGACGGGGUCCGCACAAGCGGUGGAGCAUGUGGUUUAAUUCGAUGAUACGCGAGGAACCUUACCUGGGCUCUAAUGUGACUGCUAUCUGGUGAAAGCCGGAGUUCCUUCGGGACGCGAAGCAAGGUGCUGCAUGGUUGUCGUCAGCUCGUGCCGUGAGGUGUCAGGUUAAGUCCUAUAACGAGCGCGACCCCUAUUCUUAGUUGCCAGCACAUAAUGGUGGGGACUCUAGGAAGACUGCCUCCGUAAGGAGUGAGGAAGGCGGGGACGACGUCAAAUCAUCAUGGCCUUUAUGCCCAGGGGCUACACACGUGCUACAAUGGCAAGUACAGAGGGGCUGCUAACCCGCGAGGGGUAUGGCUAAUCCCAGAAAGCUUGUCCCAGUUCGGGAUCGGGA
RNAcentral lists this ribosomal RNA (513 nucleotides) under uncultured bacterium. Its description in RNAcentral is "bacterial SSU rRNA". It matches the Rfam family "Bacterial small subunit ribosomal RNA", at positions 791 to 1304 of the family's 1533-position model. The record is from RNAcentral.